UUUCCCUAGAACGAGAGAACAAAUCUACAUCCUUCGAUAAACACGAGAAAAGAGAUAUCUCUGAGAAAAUAGCAAAUCCAAAGGGGAGAGGAUAUCGUGGAUGUUAAUUCUGAUUCUAUCCGAGAAGAUUUACACAAACAAAAACGGUGUUAUCGAUCGACAUCUCUUCCAUCUGCUUCCGUACUGUCUCAGAAUGUUGCGGUAAAUACUCGUAAGAUGAAAGAACCGUAAAACGCGUACCCACCAAUAAAAGUACGAAGUGCAAGUAUGUAAAAGUGACAUAUCGCUUGUUAAAUAGUUUCUAAGAAAUAUUUUACCGAGAAGUUCAAUUUUUGGAGGAAUAUAUUUGGAUCUUACGGCGCUUUAAGUGCCAUUUCAAUUUAAAACGAGACGUCUGAAGCGCUAUCGUAUAUUAUAUUUUCUAAUUAUACACAUACAAGAUGGUCGCGCAAACGUGAGUAUUAUAGAUUAUUCCUUCUUUAAUUAUGAUAGAAAUGUGAUAACGCUGAAAUAAUCCGAUAUACGAUAUAGAAAAAGUCGACGAUAUAUCGAUGUCAAUGUUAUCUUAGGUUUCGAGUUUCUAUCUCUAAAGAUGAUAAAUGCCAAAGAAUGCAACGAUUGCGAAAAGGGAGAUCUCUCUGUGUAUGGUCAGCGAUGCGUUAAGAUGCUUUGUGAAGGAAUGACAGUGGAAAGGGGAAGACAAAGAUAGUCAGAAGCAUUUUUCAAUUGAUUCCCGAUCGAAAGUUAUUUCAUUUUGAUCAUUCUCGCGCGCAGAUGAAUCGUACAAACGAUUUGCUUCUAACCACGUCCAAUAGUCCGAGGUGCGUAUUUUACUUAAUCGUUAAGGUUAAUAAUAUGAUUAUUUAGUGCUAAACAAUAAUUGAUAUUUAAUACUAGUGAGAUCAUCAGUCGGUAAGAGAAUUAAUGUCACCGGCAACUCGAAAGCGAAGCUUUUGCUUUGUUGCACUUGACAUGCCUAUAAAAAUAUUUUACGUUAAUAAAAUCUUUAUUAAGUCUUCCUUUGUGAGAUCACGUGAUUAAUCUCAAAUUCAAUCUUUAGAACGAAAGAAAAAAAAAGAAAAAUAAUAGAAAUAUAUUAAUGGAUUGAAUGAAUCACAAAUUUUCUCACGUUACGUUAAUCAUUACUGUCUUUAAUAAGGAAGUCGUACUCGAGAGACAAAGCUCUUGAUUCUUCUUCCCUCAUUGCUGGCGAUCCACAAAUUUCAUGUCUUCCAAUUUUUUGCAUUUCAAACUCAUUCCCUAACCUCGCCAUUUUUCUUUCGACUUUAUAAGUCUUAUCAUGAAAGAAAAAAAAAAAAAAAAAAAAAAAAAAGAUUCGUCGAAUCAUCCUCUUCCC
Long non-coding RNA from Vespa mandarinia (Asian giant hornet), 1357 nucleotides. The record is from RefSeq and is a predicted model, not a curated record. Lineage: Eukaryota; Metazoa; Arthropoda; Insecta; Hymenoptera; Vespidae.